CGGUUAUACGUUAUUUAUAAAUAAUUUAAUUAGAAAGUGUAUGAUUUUUAUAAAUAUAUAUAUAUGUAUAUAAAGGGGUGAAAUCUUUUAAUUAUAAUAUUAUUUAUUUUUUUCCACAUAAUCUUAAGAAAUAAACUAGGAUUAGAUACCCUAUUAUCCUUAAGAAUUUUAAGAAUCUGAAGUAGUAAAAAUUGAAACUUAAAAAUUUUGGCAGUAUUCAAUUUUUUAGAGAAAUAUGUAAUUUAAUCGAAAAUACACGAAAAUCUUACUUAUUUUCAUUUUGUAUAUCUCCGUUGACAGAUUUUUAUAAAAAUCAAAAUAAUUUUCUAAAAAUAAAAUAUGAAACAUCAGGUCAAGGUGCAGAAUAAAUAAGUUAUUAUGUAUUACAUUCAAGUUUAUUGAGAUGGAUAAAUAAUUGAAAUAUUAUUUUAAAAAUGAAUUUAUAAGUAAAAUAAAAUAAUGAUUUUAUUUGAAAUAUUAUUGAAUAUG
Molecule: ribosomal RNA, 489 nt
Filed under: Kumbadjena sp. MCZ 131432
Lineage: Eukaryota; Metazoa; Onychophora; Udeonychophora; Euonychophora; Peripatopsidae
Description: partial 12S ribosomal RNA
Source: RNAcentral